GGAACUGUGUCUGUCCGCCAGGGGUCACUGGAGUCGCAUGUCACCAAGAUGUAGACGAAUGUCAGUUGUUACCCAGGGGUCACUGUCAGUAUCACUGCCUCAACACUUUUGGAAGCUACCACUGUGUCUGUCCACCUGGCCGCGCAAUCAACUCAGACGGGCUCACAUGUAGCGAUAUCGAAUGCACUCCAGAAUGUCUUAAUGGCGGUCAUUGCCGAGCCGGAUCGUGUCACUGUCCUGCUGGAUUUAAAGGAAAAUUCUGCCAGACAGAUAUCGAUGAAUGUGCACGUCACUCAGGGUUGUGUGAACACCACUGUCGAAAUACACAUGGUGGGUACGCAUGCGUCUGCUCGCCCGGAAGUCGGCUUCGCCAGGACGGUAGAACGUGUGUCAAUACGACGUGUGUACCGGAGUGUAAAAAUGGAGGAGUGUGUAUUCAGUACAGAUGUCGGUGUCUAAAUGGUUAUCGGGGCAUCACAUGCCAAUUAGAUGUAAAUGAAUGUUUGGACUUACCUUGCAGUCAUAUCUGUACGAAUGUUCCCGGAAGUUACACUUGCGCAUGUCCAACCGGAUUUGAAUUGGGGAUUGACCGACACACAUGCUCAAAGUCGACUAUCAUUAGAGUGUAGAGAGACCAUCACAAAUUUGCGAUACUGACACUGGUUUGCUUAGAUUGCUAUAUAAGUUUAAUUGUCGAAUAUGGAUUUUAGCGUCAUAACCUACACAUCAACAGUCGCAAUUCCUGCACUAAGAACAGAAAGCUUUGUUAUUAACGUUGUCAAUUAAAGGUGCAAUAUUAA
Long non-coding RNA from Pecten maximus, 800 nucleotides. RefSeq lists it as uncharacterized. The record is from RefSeq and is a predicted model, not a curated record. The transcript is spliced from 6 exons. Lineage: Eukaryota; Metazoa; Mollusca; Bivalvia; Pectinida; Pectinidae.